Molecule: ribosomal RNA, 382 nt
Filed under: uncultured bacterium
Lineage: Bacteria
Description: bacterial SSU rRNA
Rfam family: Bacterial small subunit ribosomal RNA
Source: RNAcentral
AUUGAACGCUGGCGGCAUGCUCAACACAUGCAAGUCGAACGGUAACAGGCCCUUCGGGUGCUGACGAGUGGCGGACGGGUGAGUAAUGCUUAGGAAUCUGCCUAGCAGUGGGGGAUAACCCGGGGAAACUCGGGCUAAUACCGCAUACGCCCUACAGGGGAAAGCGGGGGACUUUCGGCCUCGCGCUAUUAGAUGAGCCUAAGUCCGAUUAGCUAGUUGGUAGGGUAAUGGCCUACCAAGGCGACGAUCGGUAGCUGGUCUGAGAGGACGACCAGCCACACUGGGACUGAGACACGGCCCAGACUCCUACGGGAGGCAGCAGUGGGGAAUAUUGGACAAUGGGCGCAAGCCUGAUCCAGCGAUGCCGCGUGUGUGAAGAAGG